UCUCAAUUAAACAAAUUAAAUCUUCUAAAAUUGUUAGGUCCUUAAAAAUGAAAUAGUUAUGGUGAUAACUAGAUCAUAGCCUCCCAUUAAGUUGGAUGAUAAUGAGUCCAAUGAUUUAAAUGAUUAUUGGAGGCAUCACACGCUUGGUGCUCAUCUGGCUGUUGAAAUUAUCAUUCAUAAUAUGUUGUCUUAGUUGUGUCUUUCCGAUGAUGGUCAGGUUGGUCGAGCCACACUCGGACUUGGUCACUCAUUUGUUAGAUACAUAAAAUUUUGACAUGUUAAUGGUUGGACCUAACCGAACUUUCAGUGGAGGCGCCACACGCCUGCUGAAGAGGUGUCUGGGGUAAAA
Molecule: long non-coding RNA, 349 nt
Filed under: Elaeis guineensis (African oil palm)
Lineage: Eukaryota; Viridiplantae; Streptophyta; Magnoliopsida; Arecales; Arecaceae
Description: long non-coding RNA (EGUI_LNC046851)
Source: RNAcentral